UACGUAGGUGGCGAGCGUUGUCCGGAUUUACUGGGCGUAAAGGGAGCGUAGGCGGACUUUUAAGUGAGAUGUGAAAUACCCGGGCUCAACUUGGGUGCUGCAUAUCAAACUGGAAGUCUAGAGUGCAGGAGAGGAGAAUGGAAUUCUUAGUGUAGCGGUGAAAUGCGUAGAGAUUAGGAAGAACACCAGUGGCGAAGGCGAUUCUCUGGACUGUAACUGACGCUGAGGCUCGAAAGCGUGGGGAGCAAACAGGAUUAGAUA
This 261-nucleotide ribosomal RNA is filed under the name uncultured prokaryote. RNAcentral's name for it is "partial 16S ribosomal RNA". It matches the Rfam family "Bacterial small subunit ribosomal RNA", at positions 524 to 784 of the family's 1533-position model. The record is from RNAcentral.